Molecule: non-coding RNA, 73 nt
Organism: Paramuricea clavata
Lineage: Eukaryota; Metazoa; Cnidaria; Anthozoa; Malacalcyonacea; Plexauridae
Source: the annotation of a GenBank genome assembly
GUUUUAGUAGUGUAGUCUACAUCACGUGCGCCUAAAACGCGCAAGAUCUCCAGUUCGAUCUUGGGCGGAAACA